UACAGAGGUCCCAAGCGUUGUUCGGAUUUACUGGGCGUAAAGGGUGCGUAGGCGGCGCGGUAAGUCGGGUGUGAAAUCUUGGAGCUUAACUCCGAAACUGCAUUCGAUACUGCCGUGCUUGAGGACUGGAGAGGAGACUGGAAUUUACGGUGUAGCGGUGAAAUGCGUAGAUAUCGUAAGGAAGACCAGUGGCGAAGGCGGGUCUCUGGACAGUUCCUGACGCUGAGGCACGAAGGCCAGGGGAGCAAACGGG
Molecule: ribosomal RNA, 253 nt
Filed under: uncultured bacterium
Lineage: Bacteria
Description: partial 16S ribosomal RNA
Rfam family: Bacterial small subunit ribosomal RNA
Source: RNAcentral